This is a non-coding RNA of Myodes glareolus (Bank vole), 666 nucleotides long. NCBI's taxonomy places the organism in Eukaryota, Metazoa, Chordata, Mammalia, Rodentia, Cricetidae. The record is from RefSeq and is a predicted model, not a curated record.
CAGUUUAGAAUUAAUAUAAGCCUCUGUGUAUUUCAUUGGGACUGAACAGCUGCAGGACCAGAUGGGACAGAAACUUCUGUCUACAGUACAGCCUUCCCAGAGAAGCACAGCAUAACAGACUGGAGGGACAUUCACCCAGCUGCAUAGGCCACGGUGGGUUCAUCACUGCAGAAACCUUCAUCAGCAUCCCAACAGCCACGGGAUGCAGGAUCAAGGGCCAUGACGAUCACACUGUACCCUAAGUCUGGCUGGAGGAAGGCAGCACCUUUCAUCUGUUGGUUAACUGCAGCACACACCCUGCGCCAGGUGGAGUGGAAGCUGGCUGAAGUCUCAGAGAAGCCUACCCAUCUGCACUGCACCCAUUAACAACCUUCAAAACUGGGCGCCAUCAGCCUGGCACACCCAGCACACGGAAAAGCAAGGCUCGCUUUCCUCCAAUCGUCAGUACUCACCAGGACAGUUUGAGACACGGAGAAAAGGUUUAAAAAAAUGAGAGUAACUGAGAAGUCACCGACCAAUGUUAGUCAGUGAUGUGUUAGUUUCAAAAUGUAUUUUCCCCAAAACUGGAUCUUUCCUUUGCUAGUUACUAAAUAAUUUUGCUUAACACUAGAAAUAAUUGAUCUAAAGCCACAUAUUGAAUAAAUGCAUAGCAAUUAGUCAUGGAAA